AGAGAACCUUGUGCUACAGAAUUACAGAGGACACCUGAUAAACUUUUGUUCAAAACCGAAUGGAUUUUAAAUAACGCUCCAGGUUGUUUGUGGUUCCCAGGCGAAGCUAGUCUAUGCUGCCCAUGUCCUGGUUCAGGGGAACAUCAGUCUUUAUACUCACAUCAUUGGGAAUGGUGAGUUCAUGAGUACUGGCCGGGGGACUGGCAUCCAGACCUGAAUGAGAGAGCAGAGGGAAGCUCGAGAGACAGCCGAGGUUAAACAGCACUGCAUACAUACGCUGGAAAGUGUCAAAAUAUGAGAUACUCAUUCAGAUUAUCUGCGAGGAAAACACAGCUAUCAGGAUUAAACCAUCCUCUGGAUUGUAAACGUGCUUCCCCUUUUGAUAAGGUCAGUGGUUCUCAAACUAUG
Long non-coding RNA from Carassius gibelio (silver crucian carp), 408 nucleotides. RefSeq lists it as uncharacterized. The record is from RefSeq and is a predicted model, not a curated record. NCBI's taxonomy places the organism in Eukaryota, Metazoa, Chordata, Actinopteri, Cypriniformes, Cyprinidae. The transcript has 3 exons.